This 323-nucleotide unclassified non-coding RNA is filed under the name fungal sp. RNAcentral's name for it is "partial internal transcribed spacer region". The stretch from base 1 to 46 matches the Rfam family "Eukaryotic small subunit ribosomal RNA", at positions 1786 to 1831 of the family's 1831-position model. The record is from RNAcentral. Lineage: Eukaryota; Fungi.
AAGUCGUAACAAGGUCUCCGUAGGUGAACCUGCGGAGGGAUCAUUAACACUAUGAAAACACGAAGUAGACUGUCAAGACUGCAAAGUCAACACAGAUUACUUUUGUUAUCAACCAACUCGUGAACGAAACAUUAUGUUACCUCUCUUUCACUUAGCUAUUGUGAUUAAAAGCAUAGCUUUGUGUUAGUUUUUGAUUGUAUUUUUGUUAUUAUACAAACCAACAACAACAGUAUAACAAAGUAACACCUGUAGUUUAUUCAUACUAGUGUGACUAAUAGUUAACAACAUAAGCACAACUCUUAGCAACGGAUAUCUCGGUUCUC